Molecule: transfer RNA, 63 nt
Filed under: Carassotrema koreanum
Lineage: Eukaryota; Metazoa; Platyhelminthes; Trematoda; Plagiorchiida; Haploporidae
Description: tRNA-Thr
Source: RNAcentral
GAUAGGGUAGUUUAGUAUAAGAAUCCUGCUUUUGUAAUGCAGGGGUGCCUCUGGCCCCUUUCA